AUUUUUGACCUGUUCUCAACAGCUGACGCUCCUCCACACACUCCUCCACAUCCAGGCGGAUUCACAGCUCCAGUAAAGCUCACACACAGGUCAGCAGUCCAACAUCAGUUCCAGCAGGUGUUCAGUCAGGAGAUCUGUGGCUCUGUGGUAAGAGCGCUGCCCCACAGCUUCAGGGGUUGCUGGUAUCGGUCCCAGCCAGAACUCUGCGAUAUGUGUGAAUGGCGGCAUCAGCGAGCUGCUCUUUUAGCCUGAACACCUUUGACAACAGCGACAGAUCAACACAGGUACACCGUUUUACUGGCGUCAAGUUGAGCUCCAGCAGAUGACAGCUCAGUGCCAGACUCAUAAUGUCAGUCAACAGCAGAUAUUACAGCCAGACAGCGAAGACAAGCCACAGCAAGUGCAGAAAUGGAGAGUAACGCGACUCACCUGUAAGUGACUUUGUUCUGUUGGUUUAGUUUGUAGUGAUGUUG
Molecule: non-coding RNA, 473 nt
Organism: Danio rerio (zebrafish)
Lineage: Eukaryota; Metazoa; Chordata; Actinopteri; Cypriniformes; Danionidae
Source: RefSeq, a predicted model, not a curated record